RNAcentral lists this ribosomal RNA (253 nucleotides) under uncultured bacterium. RNAcentral describes it as "partial 16S ribosomal RNA". It matches the Rfam family "Bacterial small subunit ribosomal RNA", at positions 524 to 776 of the family's 1533-position model. The record is from RNAcentral.
UACGAAGGGGGCUAGCGUUGUUCGGAAUUACUGGGCGUAAAGCGUGCGCAGGCGGCUUCUCAAGUCAGGGGUGAAAGCCCAGAGCUCAACUCUGGAAUUGCCUUUGAGACUGAGUGGCUUGAGUACGAGAGAGGUGAGUGGAAUUCCCAGUGUAGCGGUGAAAUUCGUAGAUAUUGGGAAGAACACCGGUGGCGAAGGCGGCUCACUGGCUCGUAACUGACGCUCAUGCACGACAGCGUGGGGAUCAAACAGG